GGGUCAGAGGAUUAGCUCAAGCUCCAACAUAUCUAGCUGCUACCUUGCUUAACAUAGCUGCUACCUCAAUCGCUUUAUUUUUUUGUGUUUUCCCCCCUGUGGCAUUUAUUCUGUGCACAUGAACACGUUUUCAGAAUUGCUAUGUGUAACUCAGACGGUUACUCUUGUGUGUUUUGCUGCUAGUUGUGCGAACGAGCCAGACAAACCAGCUGGGAGGAGGACGGAAGCACCCCUUCUCCAUCCGCGUUCAGUUGCUAAAUACGGAUCCACCCCGUAGUAAGUAACCUACCAUGUUUACGCACACAUUACUUUGACCAGCAAAGCCCAUGUCUUUCUAGUGGUUUACAAAAAUAUAUCGUUUGCAUGUUUUGCUUUGGUACGUCUCUGUUGUAUGACUCUGGUAAUAGUAGCAAGCACAAGCACAACCUGUUCGCCGCUCCAGCAUUGCAAAAUAGAUUGCCUUGGGUUUUCAAAUGUUUACAUGAUUGUGGGUGUAAUGUUGUUAACUCGCUGAUGUCGUUUUUGAGAAGACGGUAGUUUUGCAUUUGAUAAAUACCACCUAAUGACCAUGACGGCUACACGGCAGAUCUUUAUUGUGAUGGCUACACUGAAUGAUCACAUGGAGAUGCCGGUACAUUAUUUGUUUUACCCUGGUUAUAUUGAAAUGUUCUGCUUUGUCCAUUCCAAUGUGUGGUGUUUUCCAUAGCUGUUCCUUGCUCCCGUUUCACAACAUAUCAAGGCUGCCAAGUAAAUGAAGAAUGAAUCACCGCACACUGGUCAACAGCCGACAGAGUCCUUCCACAACCACAUACUUAUGCCAGUAAAAGCCACAGCUUUUCUCCUCCAAUCCAAGAAGCCUGGACUGCAGUCACCAUCUCAACACACCAACCAAGAGAAAGGCGGAUGGCUCAAUUCAAUAUGGAAAAUUGCACAAUAAAAGUUCCAGGACAAGAAGGCUGCAUACUGUGAACGUCAACCUUCAGGGCACCGUCCUGCGCAGAAGACUUUCUACCCUAAGAGGGAUGGCUGACCGCAGACACUCACAACCAGCACAGACGCCUCCAACCUCAAACUAGGCCCUUCACAGUUGCUGCACUUACCCACCUUCCCAGAGUUUUUGUGUGGUAAUGACAACUGUAAAUAUAGUAUAAAGUAAUGUAUCUAGUGUCAUGUGUAAUACAUUGUUUAAAUUGUCCAUUGUCCAUUGCUUCCAUUUCAAUGACAGUAAAUAUUGGUGGACACAAU
Engraulis encrasicolus (European anchovy) is the source of this 1245-nucleotide long non-coding RNA. RefSeq lists it as uncharacterized. Lineage: Eukaryota; Metazoa; Chordata; Actinopteri; Clupeiformes; Engraulidae. The transcript is spliced from 4 exons. The record is from RefSeq and is a predicted model, not a curated record.